GACGAACGCUGGCAGCGUGCCUAACACAUGCAAGUCGAACGGAAAGGCCCUUCGGGGUACUCGAGUGGCGAACGGGUGAGUAACACGUGGGUGAUCUGCCCUGCACUUUGGGAUGAGCCUGGGAAACUGGGUCUAAUACCGAAUAUGACCAUGCACUUCCUGGUGUGUGGUGGAAAGCUUUUGCGGUGUGGGAUGGGCCC
Molecule: ribosomal RNA, 200 nt
Filed under: uncultured bacterium
Lineage: Bacteria
Description: partial 16S ribosomal RNA
Rfam family: Bacterial small subunit ribosomal RNA
Source: RNAcentral